AGUGAACGCUGGCGGUAGGCCUAACACAUGCAAGUCGAACGGCAGCACAGUAAGAGCUUGCUCUUACGGGUGGCGAGUGGCGGACGGGUGAGGAAUACAUCGGAAUCUACUUUUUCGUGGGGGAUAACGUAGGGAAACUUACGCUAAUACCGCAUACGACCUACGGGUGAAAGCAGGGGAUCUUCGGACCUUGCGCGAUUGAAUGAGCCGAUGUCGGAUUAGCUAGUUGGCGGGGUAAAGGACCACCAAGGGGACGAUCCGUAGCUGGUCCGAGAGGAUGGUCAGCCACAUGGGAAGUGAGACUCGGCCCAGACUCCUGCGGGAGGCAGCAGUGGGGAAUAUUGCACGAUGGGCGCAAGCCUGAUCCAGCCAUACCGCGUGGGUGAAGAAGGCCUUCUGGUUGUAAAGCCCUUUUGUUGGGAAAGAAAAGCAGCAGGUUAAUCCCCCGCUGUUCUGACGGUACCCAAAGAAUAAGCACCGGCUAACUUCGUG
RNAcentral lists this ribosomal RNA (492 nucleotides) under uncultured bacterium. Its description in RNAcentral is "partial 16S ribosomal RNA". It matches the Rfam family "Bacterial small subunit ribosomal RNA", at positions 29 to 507 of the family's 1533-position model. The record is from RNAcentral.